UCACAAUUCAAUGGUCGGCUAGGUAAAAGACAAGUGGGAACGUCUCCAGCUAUAGGGCUCAGGUGGCUGCGGUGAGGAUGCUCGGCUAGACCUGUGGAGGAGUGUGGAGAGUGGGAGUCUGUGGGAAGGCUCCCCAGCCACAGGCCAAGGCCAAAUGAGCAGCACAAGUCAAGGUGGCCGGGAAAGCCACUGGCCUUUCUCUGACAGAUGUUCCUGUGACCAACAGCUCUUUCCUCUACAUGGUACUGUAAUGGCGGUGUUUGUAUGUUGACAUCCUUGACUACAUUGUGAUCUCCUUGAAGGGGACCAUUAUCAUUGGAUUUAGGGCCCACCCAGAUAAUCUGUGAUGACCUCUUCAUCUCAAGAUCCUUAACUUAAUUCUAUCUCCAAAGGCCUUCUAUACUUAUGGCUUACACGGUUGGUGAUGGCAGGAACAGAUGAG
Molecule: long non-coding RNA, 442 nt
Filed under: Equus caballus (horse)
Lineage: Eukaryota; Metazoa; Chordata; Mammalia; Perissodactyla; Equidae
Description: lncRNA (ENSECAG00000051699.1)
Source: RNAcentral